Molecule: unclassified non-coding RNA, 265 nt
Filed under: Hevea brasiliensis (rubber tree)
Lineage: Eukaryota; Viridiplantae; Streptophyta; Magnoliopsida; Malpighiales; Euphorbiaceae
Source: RNAcentral
CUUACCUUCACUAAAACCCUAAACCCCCUUGCAACUGGCACCGCUAAAUGCUCAUCGCCUGAUCUGCUAUCUUUCCCGAUUCCAUUUUCAGUGCCCAAAAUUAGACCCUCUUCACAGUUCUAAAGAAUCUAAACCCACAUUCUCUUUGAAGACCAAAACCCAUUAUCUCUCUCUUUCCACCAACGACAUCAGAAAGCUAAAUCCAUGUCUAGAAGCCAGGUUCUUUGAACAGGAAGGAAUGUCGUUACUGAAUGAAUGGAUUGAG